AUGGUGUUGGACCAUGCUGGGAAGGCGGCGGCCCUGCUCACGUUCUACUCCGAGCUGUUGGGCAGGGCUCGACCUGCCGUGUGGCGCUUCGACUUGGAGGCUCUCUACCGCGACGCGCCGAGGGUGGAUGCGGCGGCCCUGGUCGCGCCGUUCUCGCCCAGCGAGAUUAAGGAGGCGGCGAACCUCCUCGACCGGACUAGCGCGCCCGGACCGGACGACCUUGGCCCCGCGUUCUACCAGGCCGCUUGGAGUGCGGUCGCGGGCGACCUACAGCGGCUCUUCGACGCGGUCCAUGACAGCACCGCUGACCUCGACGCCAUCAACCGUGCAUACAUUGCCCUGCUGCCCAAGGGUGUGGGCGUGCCGACGCCGGGCGCUUCCCGCCCUGUCUCCCUUCAGAAUGGGGACGUGAAAAUCCUCUGUCGUGGCCUCACCUCGAGGUUGCAGAAGCAGAUCGGGGGCAUCAUCGACGUCGACCAGUCUGGGUUCCUGGCGGGGAGGAGCAUCUCCGAGAACUUCGUGUAUGCCGCUGAGGUGAUCCAGUGCUGCCACAAACGGGGGGCGCCUGCCCUCGUGUUCAAGCUGGACUUCGCCAAGGCGUUCGAUUCGGUCAACUGGGGGGCGCUGCGCCGGAUUCUCAUGGCGCGCGGCUUUCCCCGGUGGUGCGCCUGGAUGGACCUGAUCUUCGAGUCCUCGCGGUCGGUGGUGCUGCUGAACGGCGUGCCCGGGCGGUGGUUCACGGUGCGCCGGGGGCUGCGGCAAGGUGACCCAUGCUCGCCCUACCUCUUCCUCAUCGUCGCCGACGUGCUGCAACAGAUGAUCUGUCAAGAUGGGGCCCUGUUCCACCCUCUCGUCGAUGGCAAGCCCCCCCUGGUGCUGCAAUAUGCCGAUGAUACGCUUGUCAUCCUCCGCGCGGACUCCGGCGCUGCUGCCCGCCUCCGCCGUAUCCUCGACGACUUUGCGGCGGCGAGGGGCUGGACAUCAACUUCGACAAAAGUACUCUGGUCCCCAUGCACGUGCCCGAGGAGGUGUUGGUGGAGACCGUUGGCGCCCUUGGCUGCGCCGUCCAAGGGUUUCCGCAAGCCUACCUUGGGCUCCCGUUGUCGUGGGAAAAGCUCUACUUCGCUGACUUCCUACCCAUGA
RNAcentral lists this ribosomal RNA (1143 nucleotides) under Triticum aestivum (bread wheat). Its description in RNAcentral is "partial small subunit ribosomal RNA". Lineage: Eukaryota; Viridiplantae; Streptophyta; Magnoliopsida; Poales; Poaceae. The record is from RNAcentral.